GAUGAAGAACGCAGCGAAAUGCGAUAAGUAGUGUGAAUUGCAGAAUUCAGUGAAUCAUCGAAUCUUUGAACGCACAUUGCGCCCCUUUGUAUUCCAUGGGGCAUGCCUGUUCGAGCGUCAUUUGUACCUUCAAGCUCUGCUUGGUGUUGGGUGUUUGUCUCGCCUCUGCGUGUAGACUCGCCUCAAAACAAUUGGCAGCCGGCGUAUUGAUUUCGGAGCGCAGUACAUCUCGCGCUUUGCACUCAUAACGACGACGUCCAAAAGUACAUUUUUACACUCUUGACCUCGGAUCAGGUAGGGAUACCCGCUGAACUUAAGCAUAUCAAUAAGCGGAGGA
This 337-nucleotide unclassified non-coding RNA is filed under the name soil metagenome. RNAcentral describes it as "partial contains 5.8S ribosomal RNA, internal transcribed spacer 2, and large subunit ribosomal RNA". The stretch from base 1 to 120 matches the Rfam family "5.8S ribosomal RNA", at positions 35 to 154 of the family's 154-position model. The record is from RNAcentral.